This 301-nucleotide ribosomal RNA is filed under the name uncultured bacterium. RNAcentral's name for it is "partial 16S ribosomal RNA". It matches the Rfam family "Bacterial small subunit ribosomal RNA", at positions 509 to 809 of the family's 1533-position model. The record is from RNAcentral.
CAGUAGCCGCGGUAAUACGUAGGUGGCAAGCGUUGUCCGGAAUUAUUGGGCGUAAGGGGCUCGCAGGCGGUUUCUUAAGUCUGAUGUGAAAGCCCCCGGCUCAACCGGGGAGGGUCAUUGGAAACUGGGAAACUUGAGUGCAGAAGAGGAGAGUGGAAUUCCACGUGUAGCGGUGAAAUGCGUAGAGAUGUGGAGGAACACCAGUGGCGAAGGCGACUCUCUGGUCUGUAACUGACGCUGAGGAGCGAAAGCGUGGGGAGCGAACAGGAUUAGAUACCCCAGUAGUCCCUGUCUCUUAUAA